AGAGUUUGAUCCUGGCUCAGGACGAACGCUGGCGGCGUGCCUAAUACAUGCAAGUAGAACGCUGAAGAGAGGAGCUUGCUCUUCUUGGAUGAGUUGCGAACGGGUGAGUAACGCGUAGGUACCUGCCUUGUAGCGGGGGAUAACUAUUGGAAACGAUAGCUAAUACCGCAUAACAAUGGAUGACACAUGUCAUUUAUUUGAAAGGGGCAAUUGCUCCACUACAAGAUGGACCUGCGUUGUAUUAGCUAGUAGGUGAGGUAAUGGCUCACCUAGGCGACGAUACAUAGCCGACCUGAGAGGGUGAUCGGCCACACUGGGACUGAGACACGGCCCAGACUCCUACGGGAGGCAGCAGUAGGGAAUCUUCGGCAAUGGGGGCAACCCUGACCGAGCAACGCCGCGUGAGUGAAGAAGGUUUUCGGAUCGUAAAGCUCUGUUGUAAGUCAAGAACGGGUGUGAGAGUGGAAAGUUCACACUGUGACGGUGGCUUACCAGAAAGGGACGGCUAACUACGAGCCAGCAGCCGCGGUAAUACGUAGGUCCCGAGCGUUGUCCGGAUUUAUUGGGCGUAAAGCGAGCGCAGGCGGUUUGAUAAGUCUGAAGUUAAAGGCUGUGGCUCAACCAUAGUUCGCUUUGGAAACUGUCAAACUUGAGUGCAGAAGGGGAGAGUGGAAUUCCAUGUGUAGCGGUGAAAUGCGUAGAUAUAUGGAGGAACACCGGUGGCGAAAGCGGCUCUCUGGUCUGUAACUGACGCUGAGGCUCGAAAGCGUGGGGAGCGAACAGGAUUAGAUACCCUGGUAGUCCACGCCGUAAACGAUGAGUGCUAGGUGUUGGAUCCUUUCCGGGAUUCAGUGCCGCAGCUAACGCAUUAAGCACUCCGCCUGGGGAGUACGACCGCAAGGUUGAAACUCAAAGGAAUUGACGGGGGCCCGCACAAGCGGUGGAGCAUGUGGUUUAAUUCGAAGCAACGCGAAGAACCUUACCAGGUCUUGACAUCCCGAUGCUAUUUCUAGAGAUAGAAAGUUACUUCGGUACAUCGGUGACAGGUGGUGCAUGGUUGUCGUCAGCUCGUGUCGUGAGAUGUUGGGUUAAGUCCCGCAACGAGCGCAACCCCUAUUGUUAGUUGCCAUCAUUCAGUUGGGCACUCUAGCGAGACUGCCGGUAAUAAACCGGAGGAAGGUGGGGAUGACGUCAAAUCAUCAUGCCCCUUAUGACCUGGGCUACACACGUGCUACAAUGGUUGGUACAACGAGUUGCGAGUCGGUGACGGCGAGCUAAUCUCUUAAAGCCAAUCUCAGUUCGGAUUGUAGGCUGCAACUCGCCUACAUGAAGUCGGAAUCGCUAGUAAUCGCGGAUCAGCACGCCGCGGUGAAUACGUUCCCGGGCCUUGUACACACCGCCCGUCACACCACGAGAGUUUGUAACACCCGAAGUCGGUGAGGUAACCUUUUGGAGCCAGCCGCCUAAGGUGGGACAGAUGAUUGGGGUGAAGUCGUAACAAGGUA
Molecule: ribosomal RNA, 1505 nt
Filed under: metagenome
Description: bacterial SSU rRNA
Rfam family: Bacterial small subunit ribosomal RNA
Source: RNAcentral